CGUAGGGUGCAAGCGUUGUCCGGAAUUAUUGGGCGUACAGAGCUCGUAGGCGGUUUGUCGCGUCUGCUGUGAAAACUCGGGGCUUAACCCCGGGCCUGCAGUGGGUACGGGCAGACUAGAGUGCGGUAGGGGAGACUGGAAUUCCUGGUGUAGCGGUGAAAUGCGCAGAUAUCAGGAGGAACACCGGUGGCGAAGGCGGGUCUCUGGGCCGUAACUGACGCUGAGGAGCGAAAGCGUGGGGAGCGAACAGG
RNAcentral lists this ribosomal RNA (251 nucleotides) under uncultured bacterium. RNAcentral's name for it is "partial 16S ribosomal RNA". It matches the Rfam family "Bacterial small subunit ribosomal RNA", at positions 526 to 776 of the family's 1533-position model. The record is from RNAcentral.